This 1215-nucleotide long non-coding RNA is filed under the name Helianthus annuus (common sunflower). RNAcentral's name for it is "hypothetical non coding rna". Lineage: Eukaryota; Viridiplantae; Streptophyta; Magnoliopsida; Asterales; Asteraceae. The record is from RNAcentral.
UCUUCUUCCAAAUCCCCACCCACUUCCUGCUUCCCAAGGCCCAAAAUCUUCUGCCUUUUCUCUUUAUUCUCUUCUUUCCUCUCUCUAAAACUUGAAUUGAGGGUUUUGGAUUGAAAUUGAGUGGAUUAAAGAAGCUUAAUUGGGAAUAAUGGGGUUGUUUUGGAAUCAUCGAAGCAAGACGAGUGUGUUUUGUGUUGGGUGAAGUUUAAAGUCGGUGAAAAGUAUAUUGUCUGGUAUACACACAACAGUGGACCGGAAUCCUGUUUUUCUAGGGUUUCAUUGAAAGUUGUAAAGGUAUUUUUGGACCGUUCAAUCGGCAUUCUGUUGUUUGUUGAGAUUCAGGAUUUUCAUAUGAAAUCGAAGAACCGUAAAGCCAAUUUCACCUGUCAACUGUUACAUGAUCUUCGUCACACAUCCUUAAACCCUAAAUUGUUUCGCUUCUGAUCCCUAAUCGCGUCAAAGUCAUUCUUUGUGUUUAAUCAGAGGAGCGGCUUAAGCUUGAAACUGCGAGAUUAUACAAGCUACCGGGAAUAACUCAGACAAGCAGAGAUAGAUGUCAAAAGGAUCGAUGUUGGAAUUACUGCUGAGACUCUUAGCAUCUAUUAUACCUUAUCUACAAGUGGUGUAUGUUACAAAUGAAGCUUGAUGUAAUUUGGAAAUGAAGCCUACAUAGUGUCUAAUUUAGAAUUAAUAUUCGAUUUUACAGGCCCAGCCACCAAACCUAGAGGAACCAUUGGUUGGUGUAAAUGGGAAUCAUGUACAUUCUUCUCCCGACAAAAAGAAGGAAGUUCUUCUUGCUGGAGCGUUACAACCCAUAAUUGAACCGCUUGGCUCAAGCUGCCCAGAGUGCCAAGGUGAAGUUGCCUUAUUACUUGGACAAUUUACUGGCGCUGAUACAUAUUGCAAGGUUGAUAUACAUGUUGAUCAUUAUUAUGUUCGUUUCUAUUCCUGGUCUUAGAGGUCUACUACAAACUCUGAUAAAUCAUUUUAUCUGGACUGAACGACAGCUUCUUGAGUCGAGCUUUGUUUUUGCAUUUUUUUUGACCGGCCAAACAAUUUAAUCUGGUAAGCGCUAAGCCUAGGUCUCAUCACUUUGUUUACUAUUUAUAAUCAGGUUAAACAUAGUCAUUAGGUAUAUAGUCUAUGCUAUGAUUUUAAGUGAGGUAUUUUUUUAAUUUCACUCUUGCUUAUUGCUACUGUGUCAUUUGUGUACAG